CGCCGAUUAAAGUGGCACGCGAGCUGGGUUCAGAACGUCGUGAGACAGUUCGGUCCUUAUCCACUGUGGGCGCAGGAAACUUGAGGGGUUCAAUCCCCAGUACGAGAGGACCGGGAUUGACGUACCUAUGGUGUGGCAGUUGUUCCAUCAGGGGCAGCGCUGCGUAGCCAAGUACGGAAGAGAUAAGCGCUGAAAGCAUCUAAGUGCCAAGCUCGUUCCAAGAUGAAGUUUCCCACUCCUCGUGAGUGUAAGACCCCCGGAAGACUACCGGGUUGAUAGGCCAGAGGUGUAAGUGUGGCAACACAUUCAGCUGACUGGUACUAAUCGGUCGAGGGCUUGAUUAC
Molecule: ribosomal RNA, 344 nt
Filed under: Pedosphaera sp.
Lineage: Bacteria; Pseudomonadati; Verrucomicrobiota; Pedosphaerae; Pedosphaerales; Pedosphaeraceae
Description: partial 23S ribosomal RNA
Rfam family: Bacterial large subunit ribosomal RNA
Source: RNAcentral